RNAcentral lists this unclassified non-coding RNA (279 nucleotides) under Hevea brasiliensis (rubber tree). The record is from RNAcentral. Lineage: Eukaryota; Viridiplantae; Streptophyta; Magnoliopsida; Malpighiales; Euphorbiaceae.
AUCACAGGCCUCCACCGAAAGAUCCGUCAAUUGAAAGGCGUAGCUCAGGAGAUUGAGUCAGAAGCGAAGUUUCAGAAUGACUUCCUAAGUCAAUUGCAAAUGACCCUCAUAAAAGCUCAAGCCGGGGUGAAGAAUAACAUGAGAAGGAUGAACAAGAGCAUAAUUCAGCAUGGCUCCAACCACCUUUUCCAUGUCAUCAUGUUUGCGCUCCUUUGUUUCUUCGUCGUCUACCUCUGGGCUAAGUUCUCCAGAAGAUGAGAGAGGCCGAGUGUAGCAUCA